Molecule: ribosomal RNA, 505 nt
Filed under: uncultured bacterium
Lineage: Bacteria
Description: partial 16S ribosomal RNA
Rfam family: Bacterial small subunit ribosomal RNA
Source: RNAcentral
GACGAACGCUGGCGGCGUGCCUAAUACAUGCAAGUGGGACGCAAGGAAACACACUGUGCUUGCACACCGUGUUUUCUUGAGUCGCGAACGGGUGAGUAACGCGUAGGUAACCUGCCUAUUAGCGGGGGAUAACUAUUGGAAACGAUAGCUAAUACCGCAUAAUAUUAAUUAUUGCAUGAUAAUUGAUUGAAAGAUGCAAGCGCAUCACUAGUAGAUGGACCUGCGUUGUAUUAGCUAGUUGGUAAGGUAAGAGCUUACCAAGGCGACGAUACAUAGCCGACCUGAGAGGGUGAUCGGCCACACUGGAACUGAGACACGGCCCAGACUCCUACGGGAGGCAGCAGUAGGGAAUCUUCGGCAAUGGACGAAAGUCUGACCGAGCAACGCCGCGUGAGUGAAGAAGGUUUUCGGAUCGUAAAGCUCUGUUGUAAGUCAAGAACGUGUGUGAGAGUGGAAAGUUCACACAGUGACGGUAGCUUACCAGAAAGGGACGGCUAACUACGUG